Molecule: non-coding RNA, 3635 nt
Organism: Equus caballus (horse)
Lineage: Eukaryota; Metazoa; Chordata; Mammalia; Perissodactyla; Equidae
Source: RefSeq, a predicted model, not a curated record
AGGCUGGGUGGGCUGGGUGUGGCGGUGACCUCUGACGCGGCCCCCUUUGGGGCUGCGGGUCCGCAGCCCGCGGUCCGGGUCCGCCGCCCCGUGGGGAGGGGGCCCGCGCGCAGGACUGUCGCGGCCGCCCGGGUGGGACCGAGCUGCGGGGGUCGCUGUCCGGGCUCGUGGUCGCCGCUCCGCCCGGCGCCGCGGGAGAAGGCGGGGCUGUCGCUGCGCAGCGGGCGAGGGAGCGGCGCGGGCGCCGUGGUCCCAGCUCCCGACGGCGACAGGCGCGACGAGCGCGGGGCCACCCGGGGCUGCAGGAGGGGGAGGGGCCUGCGGCCGUGGGGCUGAGGGGUCAGCGCCGUCUGCGCAGGCGCGCCUGCCCGCGUGUUUCCUCGUGGCCGCGCGUGUGAACUGGGGGGCUGUCGUGUGGCGCGGGCGGUGGGGUUCAGUCCGUGACCCUAAAGGCGGCCGUCGGUCCGGUUGGUGCUCAGCGGGGCGGCGGGGGCGCCGUCAGCGGGCUGCUCGCGUCCGCGUCCCUGCGGCUCUGCCAACGAGCCCGGACACGAUGCUCGCGGUGCUCGCGUCUCCCGCCGUGGGCGCCGCCCGGCCCACCCUCAUCUGGGGAAGGCUCGCUCCUCCCCCGCGGGUCCAGCGCGAGGCGUUAGGACGCUCAGGGCCGCGUUCACUGUGGGGAGUCGAUGGCGGGUCAGGUUCUCGGUCCUGUUACACGGGGUCCAAGUGAGACGCAGAGAGGCCGUGACUCUGGGGUCAGAGAACUGCCGUUCGGGGCGCAGAGAUCGAGGGAGCCACACAAACCGUGUCCUGCGGGGAGGAGGCGGGGGCUCGUAAAGACCAGAGAGGGGCCUCUGCAUCACGGAAUGUUCUCUGGACUUGGCCCCAGAAAGCGGGUCUUGGCUGGUCCGAAUCGGUGGCUCAGGCAGCUCCAGGGAGGCAGCAGGCCCUCAGUGGGAGGAGCCGCAGCUUUCUGGCGGAGUUCUCAGAAUACUUGUCUUCACUCAGCUCAGAGGUCUAUGUCCUGCCUGAGGAGGACGUGCACGACUCUCCUUCCUUAAUGGUUCCCGGCUCCAUUUUAAAGCCCUUCGACAGAAGUGACACUGUUUUCUUUCACGUGUCACAUUUGACCCAUUCGAUGGAGAAUUCUUUCUGAGAGCAUUGCUGGUCCAGCAUAGAGUUUAGUCCCGUGUGGCUGGGAUGCACCUGUCACAGAGAGUCAUGACCCACAGGAGGGAGAAACUGCUUUUUCCCUUUUCCUGAUGGGGCAGGGAGGCGACACUGCCAGUCCUGGAGCUGACGCAUGUGCAGACAGGAGGAUUUGGACCUAGAAUAACGCUCAGAACCAAAGUCGCUCCCCCAAAACAGAUCCAAGGACCAGGACAGGACCAGAUGCCAGUCAUAGAUUUGCCUCAUCUGAUGACAGAGCUGGUGAAAGUGUUUCUGCUCAACGUGAGGAAGCCCCAGCCCAGCAGUGAGUGUCAGGCCAGCUUCCAGGUGUCUGGGGUUGCCUUUGCGAUUCUCAUUGGCUAUGUAAACACUGACGUAUUUCUAUGUAUGGGGCACUGUUUGAAGUGUUUUCCAUACAGUGACUAAGUUACCAUAUAUAAAUCAACUUCUUCCUCAGCAAACUUUAUGAGGUAGCCACUUUAUCAUUUCCUUGGGUGAGUUAACUCAAACUGUGAAUACAGGUGAUUUGCCAGAGGUCACCAAGCUAGGAAAGAACCAACCCAGGAUCGUGACAAAACCCUACCCUCUCUGAGUCCAUACUCAUUGUCUGGUGCCAAAUAUUGAGUAUUCCUCAUAUGUCAUGCACUCUAGGCUCAAAACAGAGUUAUUUUCCACACUAAUGUAAGCUGUGCAGGCACUUGCCCACAGAUCCUCAAGCUCUCUGCUCCCAACCUGCUCAGACACACCCACUCCCUCGGCACUCCACCGGUGUCAUCCCUUCUUAGGGUGCAGUGAUGGUCUCUCUAGGAUUUAGGUAUAAUAACUGUUUUCCUAAGUCUUCCUGUGCCUCCUCUGUGGCUGCACAUGACUAGCGAUCCCCUGCUGAGUCAAUGACACUUGAGAGGCAAGUUCAUCCUGACACUGGUUGGAAUCCCUUAGGUACAGGCAUCAUCUCUGGAAAGGCUGUACAGACACCUUUACUGAUCGUUUCCUCUCUAAGUGCCUGGGGGCCUAGUCACCUUAUACAUCCUCUGAGACAUGAACCCCUACAAGGUCCACUCAAAAUACAACAAGACGUCCACCAUGGCCAGGGCCAGAGAAGGAUCCCUAGAGGCCAUCUGACACAGAGGGAGGAAGUGACCUUUGUCAAUGGAGGCAGAGCAACAGAACUGUAAGUGGUCAGAAUGAAGAGAAAAAGCAGGGUCCACUGUCAUACAGUGGAAACAACACAAGGGAACAUCGCUGGGCAGGAGCAUCAGCAAUCAGUUACCCAUCUGUAGGCAAAUGGCCCGUGGAUAUUCAGCACAAUUACCAGCAACAAGAAGACUGAGAAGAUGUCUCUAUUCUUGUAUUGCUUUCACAUUAAGCCACUGAGAGCUCUGUGGAGAACAAACAUUUAGAAGCAGCAUUUCCAGGAAUCAGUAGUUCACUCAAGUUGGUUAUGUCUGUAAACUGGAGCUCCCUCUCCUAACUCAUUCCCACCGCAACUAAGUGCUCACCUCACCAAGAACGCUGGUGGUUCUACUUGUCCACAGGGAACUAGGGAAGAUGUGUGUCCAAUUCUGCCUCCCACGCUGCUCAUCUGCAGGAGCCUGACUCCUGGGGAUCUCUGCCUGGAGACUACUGACAUGAGGAACAUUUAGGUUUUCGCUAUUAGGAAUGAAUAAGACAGUGUAAUGAAAAAAAGUUUGUAGCUGCAUAGGAAGUUAAGAAAAACAUACCAGAACAAAAAAAGUUCAAAAGUUAUAUAUUUAAUACUAUUAUCCCAGAAUAUAUAUAGAAAAUUUGACACAAUUACAAAAAUAACUUAAUUUUAUAACCAAUCCUCCAUUAAUGAAACAUAGAACAGCACUUUCUGAGUUUGUGGGUGGCAUCCCACAUAAAGUACAGAAGACUGGCAGAGAUGUUAGCUCAGGUACAAUCUUUAUCCCACAAAAAUGUCAAAGACCUAAACACUGGGUAAUCACAUAUAAAAAUGGAAAGUAACUAAACAUACUGCAUUUAUCAUUUAGAGAGCAGUCAGAUGUAAGAGAAAACGCUCACAAAUUGCCAGAUACAUUCACAAAUGCUGCUUUCAAUCAUGGAAAUAUCCAGAAAGAAGAAAUGGAAGAUUACUGCAGCCUCGCAACAAUGCAACCAGGGAAGGAAGUUUCCUGCAUUUGUGGCUGCAGCAUUAAAUCUGUGAGGGUGGAGGCAGGAAACAGAUCCACUAGUAGAGAACAAGAUACUCCCUACAGAAUUCAUGUCAUUAGGAGAAGCAUUGGAGAUGAAGGGGGUCAAGGAUGAGAGAAGGUCACUGUGUGACAGCAUGAACAAGUGGCCUGAUAGUCACCAAAGAGCUUCAGGAAAAUGCAAGGAAUUGUGUGAACCUACAAACGAAAGAGGAUCAAUGAUUGGGGAGCUUGUGGGAAAGUCUGUGGAACCUACUGCUUAGGAGGGAACUGACGUCAAACAUGGUGCUUGAC